GUGGAUUAGAUACCCGGGUAGUCCUAGCCGUAAACGAUGGGUACUAGGUGUUGGAGGAUUCUACCCCUUCAGUGCCGCAGCUAAUGCAUUAAGUACCCCACCUGGGGAGUACGAUCGCAAGGUUGAAACUCAAAGGAAUUGACGGGGGCCCGCACAAGCGGUGGAGCAUGUGGUUUAAUUCGAUGCAACGCGAAGAACCUUACCUAGGCUUGACAUGCAGGGGACAGGUGUAGAAAUACAUCCUUCCUUCGGGACCCUUGCACAGGUGCUGCACGGCCGUCGUCAACU
Molecule: ribosomal RNA, 288 nt
Filed under: uncultured bacterium
Lineage: Bacteria
Description: partial 16S ribosomal RNA
Rfam family: Bacterial small subunit ribosomal RNA
Source: RNAcentral